This 213-nucleotide long non-coding RNA is filed under the name Gallus gallus (chicken). Lineage: Eukaryota; Metazoa; Chordata; Aves; Galliformes; Phasianidae. The record is from RNAcentral.
CUUCUUUGUGGAGUCCUUUCCAUGAGCCUUGAGCUUCAGAGAUAGUUUGUACUGCGAAUCUAUGCAGAAUCCUACAAAUCCUGUGAAACUGAGACUGUGAUGAUGUCUCCAAGCCUCAAACCCUGCAAGCUGGGGCUGAGCCUUUGUGUUUUAUGAUCUCCAGCCUUUCUCCAAUGUUCUGCAGUGACUUCCAGACCAUCAUUUUGGGUGUAC